CCAGUUUAUGUGACUGCACUCGCUGCUGCGGGGUGACGAUAAUCAUGUAGCAGCGGCUGCUUCAGUGAAUAAAGUGAGACGGUGUGUGCUUCGUGUAGUUUUCAUUUCUGAAAUCUAAAAUUUACACUGAACUCCAGUGUUAGCGUGGAGCUAUUCUGGCAUCAAAUCCCUGAACCUUACAAACUGUGAGCGGCGGCAUGCUCAGCUGUGUUAUGGCAAAGGAGGACCAGCUGACACCCAGCAUGGUCCGACCAACCUGAGAACCAAAGUGUGUUAUUGGACUAUGUAAAGCCUAAGUAUACAAAUACAGGCUAUUUACCAUUUAUUUAUCACUGAAUUAAACUAAACUAACAGCAGUCUUUCUUCUGCUUCUCCUGAACAUUAAGUACCUGUCUCAGCUGAUAUUGAUCUUCUGUGAUUCAAAUUCAGAUCUGUGGUUAAUCAAAUUAUCUACAACCAAUUGACACGCCGCAAACUCAGAGCUUUGGAGGCCAGACGCAGCUGACCGCUCUGCACGGCCGUUAAUCCAACCUUGGCUCAUAGAUUUGUUCUGUACCCAGAGUUGGACCGACGGUUGGGUUCUGGUGCACCAAAUCAGUACUGAAUCUGACUGACCAACUCUGUUACUCUUUUCUGCUUAUAAUUGAUUAAUUGUGUUACUUUGUUUACUUUAAGAAAACAUUUCGGGCUUCUUUCAGUUUCCAAUGUGUCGAACACACCGGAAACACAGAUGUUUAGAAGAAAUCAUCAGUCUUGUCUGCAGUUGGUGAGCCUGAUGCAGGCAGUAAUGCACAUCUACGAGCCACGUGCAUGUUUGAUUUGUCAACUCUACAUUUACAAAGUUUCUUCUUUUCUGGAAACCGAGCCUGGUUUUAUGAUUUUAAUAGUCAAUGUUUUAUUGGGGUGUAGUUCAUGUUUUAAGAAAAAGAGGACAUCUUUAAAAGAAGUUCAAACCUGAUGGAAAUACGUCAUCUCUGCUAGUUUCUGUGCAAACACAGCUGAUGGUUUUGACUCUACAGUAGGAUGCUGAAGUCACAUGAUGAAUAAAUGAUGGACGUAGCCAUCGUGAUGUCACCUGUUAGUUUGUAAAGACUGAAGCUGAGCCCACUGACCAUCAUCAUCUUAUCUUAAGAAGAUGUCACAUUAGAGGGAUACUGGAUGCUUAUACGCUAGCGACUUGUCGAUCACACCCAGCUUUACUGUCCUUCUGGGAACUAAUGGACUUUGAUUAGAGUUGAAACACACGAGUGAGACCACAAGCUGUUGAUGAUAGCGUUUACUGAGGUCACACGGCGCUCUCGAUUCGACACAUAGGAUGAUUUUUUUCACUUGUUUUAAACUAUAAUAGUUCCUGCGAAUGAUCUGUGUCUUCAGAAUCAUCAGGAACUUUUCUUGGGAACUUUUUUACUUUGCUGUUGUGUUUUACAUCUGGUGUUACCAUGGAAACCAGAUUUAAUGCAGCCUAAGCCCGAAAAUACAGACAUUUACCUGCAAGGUUAAAAUUCGGACAUAGCUUCGGGUUCUGAAAAGUACUUUUUUCUUAUAUAAUGGCCAACAGGGGGCGACUCCUCUGGAUGGUUUAGUUGUCUUUGACACAUUGACCUUUGGCUCUCCCAAUCUAUAACCUCAUUAAAGACUUUCCUGGUGGCUCUAUGGUCGCAAUCAAUACCUUAUAGUGUUCCUUUUUAAAUAACGAUCUCUGUUAGAGUCAAAAAUGACAAUGACUCGGGGUACGAGCAUGUGACUUAAAACUCCUGGCAGUAUCAAGUUUCUCGUCUGGUUUCAACACCAAGACGCUUCUGGACGAUUCAGUAAGGGAUGGCUCAUCACAUUAGCUACAUCCAUCAUCUUUACUCAGUAUAUGAAUGUAAUGCACAGUAUAAAAGUUGGGCUUUAAUGCACAAGUUCAAAAUCAACACAUAAACAGGUCGACGCGCUGCAGGUGCAUGUCAGCAAAUUCAUAUUUUCCACACACUCAAAACGUGGUUAGAUGGAUGCAGCAGGGAGACAGAGUUUGGUUCUGUUGAAGGAUCACCGCCUCCAUCUGCUCUCUCUGAUACCUGUUUAAAUAUUUUAUAAUACAGCCUAAUGAAACAUGAAGAGCCCGGCUUUUCCAAACAAUUAAGCAUAAUGAGUGUCUCUCAGAGAUCGUGGCGCUAAAACUAAAAGGCAACAACUGGGAAAUCAAACAUGUCAAAGACAGAACUGAAACUCUACACUGAUGGAAGCACAGUCCGGAUCCAGCAUCCGGGCCCGCUCUUUACCGCCAGCCGACUGAGCCUAGUUUCGAAUUGACGGACGUCGGCGGUAACCAAUCAGCGCCUGCCGUGCGCCAAAGCCGUGUUUAUUCCACUUAGCCGACCAAUCCGAGCCGUCCUCUGCGGCCAAGUGCGUCAUCAGAGUAGAAUGUGAAUGUGGGCUGCCUGUUACCGGAGCACACUUUGCUCCCAUCCCCCAUCAACACUGAGCAAUGGCGGCUACCCUUUUUUGCGUGCCGCUUUGUCCUUCUCAGUUCAGCUUGUAAAAGCCAUGUGUACAAAAGUCGGUAAGGAAAAUACGUGUUUGCCCUUGUGUUUCAUAAGAAUGCGCGUCAGUUCAUGAGCACAUUAUAAUUAUUUUCCGCACUUCUCUCAUCGCAUGUCUUUUAUGUCGCACUGCUUUUUUUCCCUCCUCCACGGCGGGGCAUUUCUCUGUGGGUCCUAACAAUGGAGGCGGAGGAAAUGAGCCACCAGCACUGUUCACUGCACCCGCUCACUGAGCCCGAACAGCCCGAAUCACGGCGUCAGAGCCGGCUGUGUGUGUGUUGUUCGACGGGCACUGUGUUUAUUUGUGUCUCGACCUUGGCGCACGAAUUUAUGGGCUGUUAUGUAAAAAAAAAAAAAAAGCCCUCAAGAGUGUCAAGUGCGCACAUACAGGGAUGAGUUUCAAACAUGGACGUCGGGAAGGGGCGGGGCGACGAAGAGCUGCGAUGUGACAUGGCGGCGCCGCUCCACAUUUACACUCUGAGCGCCUUGUAUCUGACUGAUGUUGUUCACAUGGAGCUUGAGAUGUGACACUAACUUUUGGGGAGAAAAGCCCGAUUUAAUCCGUAAUAACAUCCGUGUCGUCCACGUUUCCCUCCCAAACACUUCGCCUCUAUUCCCCCGUCGCGGCGGUGGGCGGGAGAAACCGUCUGAAGUCGCCGCUUGACUCGUCCAGACGCACAUCAAUCAAUCAAAGUGACACUACGUCAACCGAAGCGCUCUCGAUUCGACAUAUUUACUGCGUAACUCGACGGAAACUCGAUUUUCUUGCGCUCACGGUGCUGUGGAGCUGCCACGGUUCCGGCUCCGGUCCGUUUUGUGGGCUUUUAUCGACUCUGAUUAUUGUUUUAGGGGAGAAAGGGACGGUUGCAGCGAUAGAAUAGGAGGGGGCGUGGCCUUUGGGUUAAGAAAUCCUAUCCAUUGUUACUCUACGCGCUAGGAGAACACCUCUGCCGAGCCUCUGGCCAAUCAGAGACCACCGACCUCAUGAAGACCCCGCCCACAAGCCUAUAUUAAAGGCUCGGCCGUCAGAAGCAUUGGCCACUGGCACAAUAUAAUACUGAUUGAUCCGCUAACCGAGACGAGGGGAUUUACUUUAUUCAACCUUUCAUUUCAGCCGUCCUUUAUUUUAUUCUACUAAACAAUGGCAGACACACAGGUCGACUCCGGCUCGGAUAUCUCUGCCAAGGACCUGAAAGAGAAGAAGCUGGUGGAGGAGAAGGAGAACGGCAAAGACGCCGCCACCAAUGGGAAGGUGAGCGCCAUCGCCGCCGCCGCAGCAGCUCUCUGCACAGAGUCGGACAUUUUUAACCAUUUUUGUAUUUUCCAGGAGAAUGAAGAGAACGGUGAGCCCGAGGUAGAUGACGAGGAGGACGAGGAGGUGGACGAGGAAGAAGAGGAAGAUGAUGGAGAAGGUGAUGAGGAAGAUGAGGAGGAGGACGACGACGAGAUUGAGGGUGGCACAAAACGGGCAGCUGAGGAUGACGAGGACGACGACGAGGUGAGGCAGCGGCGCUUAAACGCCCUUAAAUCGAGCGUCGCCGUGACACCCAGCAGGCGCCGGUCUAACCCGCCACCGUCUUCUCUUCUUUCAGGACGACGUCGAAACCAAGAAGCAGAAAACCGACGAUGACGAUUGAUGCGUUUCCCCCGCGCCAUCCUGCUGAACCACUUCCUGAUUCUUCACCUCUGACCAUUUUUCUAUGUCGCAGGUGGAGGGGCUGGAGGACUGAUUUAAAGGAAAAAAUAAUAAUAAUAAAAAAAAUCCAACAUGGUCAUUAGCAAGUAGAGUUCAACAAACACCCGCCACGCCCACACCCACCCGAGCUCCCCUCGACGCUGCGAGACAAAUUUUCUAGAGGAACCCGCCACCGCAUCGACGACGCAGAAAUCCGGCUUCUCUUCAGCAACAACACAAAAGGAGAAUUUGUUUGUAUUUUUAUUUACAUUUUAUAUUUUUGUACAUAUUGUUAGGAGAGGGGAGGGGGGCAGUUUCUCUCUCGGCAGCGAUCCCGUCAGACCAAAUCGGUGCUUCUCUAACGAAAGAUUUUACUUGGUUGACCAUGUUACGAUAUCUCAACAGAUCUUAGAAAAACGUGUAAAAAAAUAAAAUGAAUAAAAACAUGAAAGACAACCUCUUAAGCCGUUGAACUCAGAGCAUUCCAGUAAAUUUAAUGUAUGUACUUUAGCUGUACCAUAACUAGUUUGUUUGUAUGGGAGGGUAAGGCCAAAGAAAAGAGCCUCUUUUCUUUUUCCUUUCUUUUGGUUUUUUUUCUUUUGGUUUUGUUUUUGUCAGCGACUUUUUGUUUUAUGACGGCCUGUUUUGAUGUAUGUGCAAAGUUUGUUGUUUGACAAUAAACCGGACUUUUAUUUUGUGAGUUGUACUUUGUAUCUCUGCCCCUUUUUAUUUGUGCUUUGCUCUCCUGUGAGGAAGAGGAAGCAGUGCAGGUAAACCUGAGGUCUGCUUUUACUUUAGGGUCACAACAGCGAGGAGGUGGGUCCAGCACAUCUUAUUGGACAUUUUACACUCAUUACAUCCAUAUAAUUCAUAUUACAUAAAAGUUAAGGUUUGGUACUAAAAUAAACUGGCGGUUCCAAAAGACUAAAUGUGGUUUAUUUCUUUUGGAUUUUUCUCUUCUUUUUGUCUAUAUUGCAAACAUGCAAACAGAAGCAGUUCUGAUAGUUGAAAGUUGUAAGAAUAACAUAAUGUGUCACAUAAAUAAGGGUUUCUGCAUGAAUUUAAAGUCUUAACAUUAAAAUAAAGCAUAUUAAGGUCUGAGAAGCUGAUCUGUA
Astatotilapia calliptera (eastern happy) is the source of this 5315-nucleotide long non-coding RNA. NCBI's taxonomy places the organism in Eukaryota, Metazoa, Chordata, Actinopteri, Cichliformes, Cichlidae. The record is from Ensembl.